GAUGAACGCUGACAGAAUGCUUAACACAUGCAAGUCAACUUGAACUUCGGUUUGGGUGGCGGACGGGUGAGUAACGCGUAAAGAACUUGCCUCACAGAUAGGGACAACAUUUGGAAACGAAUGCUAAUACCUGAUAUUAUGAUUAUAUGGCAUCGUAUAAUUAUGAAAGCUAUAUGCGCUGUGAGAGAGCUUUGCGUCCCAUUAGCUAGUUGGAGAGGUAACGGCUCACCAAGGCGAUGAUGGGUAGCCGGCCUGAGAGGGUGAUCGGCCACAAGGGGACUGAGACACGGCCCUUACUCCUACGGGAGGCAGCAGUGGGGAAUAUUGGACAAUGGACCAAGAGUCUGAUCCAGCAAUUCUGUGUGCACGAUGAAGUUUUUCGGAAUGUAAAGUGCUUUCAGUUGGGAAGAAAAAAAUGACGGUACCAACAGAAGAAGUGACGGCUAAAUACGUGCCAGCAGCCGCGGUAAUACGUAUGUCACAAGCGUUAUCCGGAUUUAUUGGGCGUAAAGCGCGUCUAGGUGGUUAUGUAAGUCUGAUGUGAAAAUGCAGGGCUCAACUCUGUAUUGCGUUGGAAACUGUGUAACUAGAGUACUGGAGAGGUAAGCGGAACUACAAGUGUAGAGGUGAAAUUCGUAGAUAUUUGUAGGAAUGCCGAUGGGGAAGCCAGCUUACUGGACAGAUACUGACGCUGAAGCGCGAAAGCGUGGGUAGCAAACAGG
Molecule: ribosomal RNA, 722 nt
Filed under: uncultured Fusobacterium sp.
Lineage: Bacteria; Fusobacteriati; Fusobacteriota; Fusobacteriia; Fusobacteriales; Fusobacteriaceae
Description: bacterial SSU rRNA
Rfam family: Bacterial small subunit ribosomal RNA
Source: RNAcentral